RNAcentral lists this ribosomal RNA (379 nucleotides) under uncultured cyanobacterium. Its description in RNAcentral is "bacterial SSU rRNA". It matches the Rfam family "Bacterial small subunit ribosomal RNA", at positions 376 to 770 of the family's 1533-position model. Lineage: Bacteria; Bacillati; Cyanobacteriota. The record is from RNAcentral.
GGCAACCCUGACGGAGCAACGCCGCGUGUGGGAGGACGGCCUUCGGGUUGUAAACCACUUUUCUCAGGGAAGAAGGACUGACGGUACCUGAGGAAUAAGCCUCGGCUAACUCCGUGCCAGCAGCCGCGGUAAGACGGAGGAGGCAAGCGUUAUCCGGAAUUAUUGGGCGUAGAGCGUCCGUAGGUGGUUAUUCAAGUCUGCUGUCAAAGCGUGGGGCUUAACUCCAUAGAGGCAGUGGAAACUGGAUGACUUGAGUGCGGUAGGGGUCGAGGGAAUUCCCAGUGUAGCGGUGAAAUGCGUAGAUAUUGGGAAGAACACCAGUGGCGAAAGCGCUCGACUGGGCCUGCACUGACACUGAGGGACGAAGGCUAGGGGAGCG